RNAcentral lists this unclassified non-coding RNA (380 nucleotides) under uncultured fungus. RNAcentral describes it as "partial contains 5.8S ribosomal RNA and internal transcribed spacer 2". The stretch from base 1 to 133 matches the Rfam family "5.8S ribosomal RNA", at positions 22 to 154 of the family's 154-position model. The record is from RNAcentral. Lineage: Eukaryota; Fungi.
UGGCUCUCGCAUCGAUGAAGAACGCAGCGAAAUGCGAUAAGUAAUGUGAAUUGCAGAAUUCAGUGAAUCAUCGAAUCUUUGAACGCACCUUGCGCCCCUUGGUAUUCCGAGGGGCACGCCUGUUUGAGUGUCGUGAAAUUCUCAACCCUCCUCCUUUAUUGGACUUGGGCUUGGACUUGGAGGCUUUGCCGGCUCCACCCCACCGCGAGGAAAGGUGGAUCGGCUCCUCUCGAAAGCAUUAGUGAGACCCCUUGCGGCCUCGGUGUGAUAAUUGUCUACGCCGUGGGCUUAGCUAUACGUGGGACCCGCUUCAAACCGUCCCUCCGUGGGACAGAUUUCUUUACGAACUUGACCUCAAAUCAGGCGGGACUACCCGCUGA